AGGUGCGAUCAUACCAGCACUAAUGUACCGGAUCCCAUCGAAACUCCGAAGUUAAGCGUGCUUGGGAAAGAAUAGUACUAAGAUGAACUUUGUCACAGGACUUU
This 104-nucleotide ribosomal RNA is filed under the name Cephalotus follicularis. Lineage: Eukaryota; Viridiplantae; Streptophyta; Magnoliopsida; Oxalidales; Cephalotaceae. The record is from RNAcentral.